Molecule: ribosomal RNA, 227 nt
Filed under: uncultured bacterium
Lineage: Bacteria
Description: partial 16S ribosomal RNA
Rfam family: Bacterial small subunit ribosomal RNA
Source: RNAcentral
UGAGUAACACGUAUCCAACCUGCCGUCUACUCUUGGACAGCCUUCUGAAAGGAAGAUUAAUACAAGAUGGCAUCAUGAGUCCGCAUGUUCACAUGAUUAAAGGUAUUCCGGUAGACGAUGGGGAUGCGUUCCAUUAGAUAGUAGGCGGGGUAACGGCCCACCUAGUCUUCGAUGGAUAGGGGUUCUGAGAGGAAGGUCCCCCACAUUGGAACUGAGACACAGUCCAA